GGGGUCGUAGCUCAAAUGGUAGAGCGCCCGCUUAGCAUGUGGCUGAGCGCCCGACACAAUGUGCGGGAGGUAGGGGGAUCGAUGCCCUCCGACUCCA
Chlamydomonas reinhardtii is the source of this 97-nucleotide non-coding RNA. The record is from Rfam. Lineage: Eukaryota; Viridiplantae; Chlorophyta; Chlorophyceae; Chlamydomonadales; Chlamydomonadaceae.